CCUACGGGAGGCAGCAGUGAGGAAUAUUGGUCAAUGGACGAGAGUCUGAACCAGCCAAGUAGCGUGAAGGAUGACUGCCCUAUGGGUUGUAAACUUCUUUUAUAUGGGAAUAAAAUGUUCCACGUGUGGGAUUUUGUAUGUACCAUAUGAAUAAGGAUCGGCUAACUCCGUGCCAGCAGCCGCGGUAAUAUGGAGGGUCCGAGCGUUAUCCGGAUUUAUUGGGUUUAAAGGGAGCGUAGGUGGAUUGUUAAGUCAGUUGUGAAAGUUUGCGGCUCAACCGUAAAAUUGCAGUUGAAACUGGCAGUCUGGAGUACAGUAGAGGUGGGCGGAAUUCGUGGUGUAGCGGUGAAAUGCUUAGAUAUCACGAAGAACUCCGAUUGCGAAGGCAGCUCACUGGACUGCAACUGACACUGAGGCUCGAAAGUGUGGGUAUCAAACAGGAUUAGAUACCCGAGUAGUC
This 460-nucleotide ribosomal RNA is filed under the name uncultured bacterium. Its description in RNAcentral is "partial 16S ribosomal RNA". It matches the Rfam family "Bacterial small subunit ribosomal RNA", at positions 338 to 795 of the family's 1533-position model. The record is from RNAcentral.